CUCCAUUGCCCAGAACAGAACUGGCAAUAUUUGGGAUGUGCACCUCAGAAGAUCUAUACAAGAUUGGGAAAUGGACAGCUUGAUGGACAUGUUAGCCAGAGUGGAGGUCUUCACCAUCGAUGAGAAUCUACCUGACACUAUGAAGUAGGGGAACAAGGGCAUCUUUAUAGUGGAGAGGUCUUCACCAUCGAUGAGAAUCUAACUAGCACUAUGAAGUGGGGAACAAGGGCAUCUUUACAGUGAAAGAAUGCUAUAAGCACAUUUGUACUCAGAACCAGGUAUUUGACGCAGACCAUUGGCCAUGGAGACUUAUAUGGAAGACCAAACUACCCACCAAGGUAGUUUGUUUCAGC
RNAcentral lists this long non-coding RNA (353 nucleotides) under Nicotiana benthamiana. RNAcentral's name for it is "long non-coding RNA (NBEN_LNC005413)". Lineage: Eukaryota; Viridiplantae; Streptophyta; Magnoliopsida; Solanales; Solanaceae. The record is from RNAcentral.